This 3530-nucleotide long non-coding RNA is filed under the name Olea europaea subsp. europaea. The record is from RNAcentral. Lineage: Eukaryota; Viridiplantae; Streptophyta; Magnoliopsida; Lamiales; Oleaceae.
CUUUGUUUCCUGGCUCAAAAAUGUCAUUAUUGAACUUUAUGGUGAAGUUAAUGCAUAUAAAAGUUUUGAAUCAGUGGAGUAACAAAUCUUUUAACAUGUUAUUGGAAUUACUAAAAAACGUUUUUCCAGAAGAUAUUGGAUUACAAACUUCAACAUAUGAUGCCAAGAAAAUGCUAAGCGAAUUGGGAUUGGGUUAUGAAACUAUUCAUGCAUGCAAGCAUGAUUGUGUAUUAUUUUGGAAAGAGCAUGAAUGUGCUAGUAGGUGCUCGGAAUGUGAUGAACCACAAUACAAACCUAAUUUUGGAAAGGGAAAGAUGGCUUCAAUCCAUUUGGAAACAUGCAUAAUUCCUACAACAUGUGGCCUGUUGUUCUAGUACAAUACAAUAUGCCACCAUGGAAGUGCAUGAAAGAACCGUUUAUGAUGAUGUCAUUGCUAAUUCCAGGGCCACAUGCACCAGGAAGAGAUAUUGAUGUUUAUUUGAGACCACUAGUAGAUGAGUUGAAAGAAUUAUGGGAAGUUGGUGUUGACACGUUUGAUGCUUAUAGUGGUCAAAUGUUUUCUAUGCGUGCUGCUAUAAUGUGGACCAUUAAUGAUUUGCCUGCUUAUGGAAAUCUAUCGGGAUGGAGCACUAAGGGAUACAAAGCUUGUCCAAUAUGUAAUGAAAAUACUUCUUCGAAUAGGUUACGUAGUAAAAUAUGCUUUAUGGGUCAUCGAUGUUAUUUGCCACUGAACCAUCCCUGGAGAAAAAGUAAAUUACAUGAUGGUAAAUGGGAACUAUGACCACCACCCAAAAAAUUAUUAGGAGAUGAUAUUUUAAAGCAAUUACUGGUUGUGAGGUGUGGGAAACCUGGAAAGCACCCAAGUAAUAAAGAUAGGAAAAGGAAACGAACUCCAAAUGAGAUAAACUGGGCAAGAAAAAGCAUUUUCUUUGAGUUGGAGUAUUGGUCUAAAUUGAAACUAAGACACAAUUUAGAUGUGAUGCCUAUUGAGAAGAAUGUGUGAUAUAAUAUUGUUGAAACAUUGUUGAAUGUUGAAGGGAAGACAAAAGAUACGGAUAAGGCUAGAUUGGAUUUGCAAGAUAUGAACAUUAGAAAAGAAUUGCAUUUAAAACCACAUGGUAAUGGAUUUUUGAAAUCUCAUGCUUCUUACACAUUAACGUUGGGGAAAAAAAUCUUUUAUAAGUUCUUGAAAUCUGUGAAGUUUCCUGAUGGAUAUGUAUCAAAUAUUUCUAAAUGUGUUCGAGAAAAUGAAGGCAAAAUUUUAGGUUUGAAAACUCACGAUUGUCAUGUAUUGUUGCAACAACUUCCUCCCAUUGUUAUUCGAAAAUUUUUGCGAAAGGAGGUUUGUACUGCAAUUGUAGAGCUUUGUUGUUUUUUUUAAACAAUUAUGUUCAAGAACAUUGAAUAUAAAUGAUUUAGAGAAAUUGGAAGAAGGGAUUGUUAUAAGUAAACUAGAACGAAUUUUCCCACCGGCAUUUUUUGAUGAAAUGGUUCAUUUAGCUGUUCACCUACCUGAAGAAGCAAAACUUGGAGGUCCCGUAGCAUUUAGAUGGAUGUAUCCAAUUGAAAGGUAAUUGAUAAUAUUUCAUGCAUAUAUACUUGUUCAUUGAAUUAUUGUUUUCAAAAACUUUUCAUGUAAUAUUUGAUGACAGAAUAUUAGGUCGAUAUAAGAGUUAUGUUAAGAAUAAAGCUCGACCGGAAGGAUCAAUUGCUGAAGCAUAUAUUGUUAACGAGUCUUUAAAUUUUUGCUCGAUGUAUCUCAACAACAUUGAAACAAGAUUUAAUCGACCUGAGCGCAAUGAAGAUGGUGGGACUACAUCGACUACAUCUACAAGCUUGUCAGUCUUCUCUCAAAAUAUUAGGCUAUUAGAUCAUGCAGAACCAAAGUUACUUUCAAAACAAAAAAUUGAUAGAGCGCAUUGGUAUGUCCUAAAUAAUUGUGAUGAAAUUCGACAAUAUUUAGAGUAAGUUCUUAAUCAACUUUUAAAAUGUUUGCUAUUAAUUACUAAUAUGUUAUAGUAUUUAAUUGCAUGUUCUUUUUGCAGUGAGCACAUGGAGUUAUUGCAACAAUAAAAUCAUGACAAUUUGGAAAAAAAAACAAGAAGAAUUGUUUCCUAGAUGGUUUGCUUCACAUGGAAGUUAUAAUACAUAUCUUAUCUAUUUAUUAAUGGAACAUAACAUUCAUAUCAGAAGGUAUAUUAAUUAAUAUGUUUUUAUUACACAGAUAACAAGAUUAUGUAAUAAAAAAGACUCGGUUUAAGCAAAGAAUUGUAUGCAUUAGCAUAUAAACCAGCUUUUAGAAUAUUUUCUUAUUCUGGUUGUAUUGUUAAUGGGGGUAAGAUUCCUUGUUAAAGAUCGAGAUGAUUGCCGUACAACACAAAAUAGUGGAGUAAUGGUGCCGGGAGAUGAUAACACCAACUUUUUUGGUAUACUGUGUGAAGUUAUUGAGUUGGUACACGCUUUUGACUACCGAGUCACUUUGUUCCAGUGUAAUUGGUACGAUAAUAAUCCAAAGCAAAAAAGAACAAUCAUAGAUUACCAUCUUACUUCUAUCAAUGUGAAUCGUAAAUGGUAUAUGGAUGAUUCCUAUAUACUUGGCAUGCAAGCACAACAAAUAUUUUAUAUGGAUGAUCUUUUGUUGGGUCCACAGUGGAAGGUAGUGGAAAAGGUACAACAUAGAGGCAUAUGGGACAUUCCAGAAAAAAAUGAUGGCAGUAGUGAGCAAGUAAUAUUUCAGGAAAAUGAAUCAUCAAAUAUUGUCUUGCCAAUAUAGUAGGAAUAUCUUGGCACUCAAGUAUGCCAUAGAGGAGAUAUUGAUCUAGAUAUUAUUGAAAAUGAAGCAUUACAAAUAGAUGUGGAAACAAUAAAUAAAAAUAUGAAUAAUGUUAUAUAUGAUACUUCGGAAGAGGAAGAUGAUACAUUGAAUGAAUAUUUCAGUGAAGAUGAGAAAUCUAUAGAUGGUAAAGAUGAUGAUGGUGAUGGUGAUAGUGAUAUUGGUAAGUAAAACAUUCUUUAUAUAUAUAUAUAUAUAGAGGCCUUUUUUCUUUCGUAAUGUUUUUCUUUUCUUUUUUUUAAUGACUAUCUACAUUUUUUCCUUCCCUUUGUAGAUUCGAGUACUGACGAUGUAUCAUCUAAGAGUUGAAAAUAAUUUUAUUCACAUUUAAGGUUAGAGUAGUCAGCUACUGAAAUAUAUUGAUUACUUAUUGUGAUGGUUGUUGAUCUUGUUCUAAUAUUCAAUGUAAGAUAUUUGAAAUAUUUUCUUGAAGCUAAUAUUUCAUUAAUUACUUUCUAUAUGUACCUGUUAGACUAAAUUUGUGGAGCUUUUCUUUACAGGAAUUUUCAUUUAACCAAAGAGAGUUGGAAGCGUAUAUUGAGUCAAGAAUGUUAUUUGGGUGUCACGUGAGUUUUUUUGUUAUUUCUUCCACAUUUCUGGUUCUAUUUUUUAAUUUUCAAGUUUGUUGAAUCAUUCAAAGUAGCUCGACCUUCAAAUUACUAGUACUAUAGUUUAUUUGUAUUUGUUUUGAUUUUGG